This 312-nucleotide long non-coding RNA is filed under the name Elaeis guineensis (African oil palm). RNAcentral's name for it is "long non-coding RNA (EGUI_LNC042690)". The record is from RNAcentral. Lineage: Eukaryota; Viridiplantae; Streptophyta; Magnoliopsida; Arecales; Arecaceae.
CUCUCCAUCUCCUCUUCUUUCCCUCUUUUCUUUCCCAUCGCCAUGUGAUUCCGUCCAUGUGCCCACUCACCUCCUAUCCAUCUCUUUUUUUCUUCCCCGCUCGCCUUCCUGGCACCAUCACCCCCACUUAUGAUGCAUCACAAACCACAAUGCUUUCCUCCCUCACCAUAUCUUGCCAUUUUAGAAGAUUAUAAAAUAGAAAGCAAGAGUACUCUAUGGGACCAUGGUGGAGUACUCUUCCUUAUUUAUGAAUGUUUGCAAUAGGACUUGAAUGAAAUUUAUUACAAUUAAGGUAGCUUUAGUGCAAAUGUU